GACGAACGCUGGCGGCGUGCCUAAUACAUGCAAGUUGAGCGCUGAAGGUUGGUACUUGUACCAACUGGAUGAGCAGCGAACGGGUGAGUAACGCGUGGGGAAUCUGCCUUUGAGCGGGGGACAACAUUUGGAAACGAAUGCUAAUACCGCAUAAAAACUUUAAACACAAGUUUUAAGUUUGAAAGAUGCAAUUGCAUCACUCAAAGAUGAUCCCGCGUUGUAUUAGCUAGUUGGUGAGGUAAAGGCUCACCAAGGCGAUGAUACAUAGCCGACCUGAGAGGGUGAUCGGCCACAUUGGGACUGAGCCACGGCCCAAACUCCUACGGGAGGCAGCAGUAGGGCAUCUUCGGCAAUGGACGACAGUCUGACCGAGCAACGCCGCGUGAGUGAAGAAGGUUUUCGGAUCGUAAAACUCUGUUGGUAGAGAAGAACGUUGGUGAGAGUGGAAAGCUCAUCAAGUGACGGUAACUACCCAGAAAGGGACGGCUAACUACGUG
RNAcentral lists this ribosomal RNA (497 nucleotides) under uncultured bacterium. Its description in RNAcentral is "partial 16S ribosomal RNA". It matches the Rfam family "Bacterial small subunit ribosomal RNA", at positions 28 to 507 of the family's 1533-position model. The record is from RNAcentral.